Non-coding RNA from Lonchura striata (white-rumped munia), 738 nucleotides. The record is from RefSeq and is a predicted model, not a curated record. NCBI's taxonomy places the organism in Eukaryota, Metazoa, Chordata, Aves, Passeriformes, Estrildidae.
GGAUGUCCAAACGUGCCCGGCCAGGUUCUCCUCGCACGCUUCUGGCUCGGGUUUCUCUCCCUGGGUUUCUCUCUCUGGGUUCGGAGAGGUCUCGGCGGGGUAGGCAGCGGCGCUAUCCCGUGCCUGGCACAGCGGAUGCUGUCUCGGGCUGCUCAGCGCUUGGCCGCUGUACACUGCCCUGCAAAGGUGCGGCCUGGCCAGGCUCUGAGCAGGGAUGAGCAGGGUGCAGACAUCAUAGCGCGGGCUGAGAAAGAACCAACACAAUUCCCACGCGGGACAUAAGCUGCCAGCCGUCCUCCGAGGGCCUGCGGAGCUGAUGGAGGCGAUGCGCACCGAGGACGUCCAUGUGCUCCCACCAGGAGUUUCAGCAGGCGCGGGAUACAAACCACGCUGUUUGGGGUAUCCCAUCGCUUCGGCACCCGGCGCGAUCGGGCUGCAGGGAUGUCGCGGACAAGCGCUGGGUGCUGCUCCGGCCCGGAGAACGUAGCGCAGCGCCAGACGUGCCAGGGCGGAGGUCAAGGUGCCCUGGCACCGUCUGGGCCCAGUCGGGAGGAAGGCUGCCGGGGAGAACUGCUGCCAGAGGAGAGCUGCCUGGGCUCUUUGGCACACGAGCUGCCAGAGAGACUGGGAAACAGCUGGGAGUUUUUUCCAAGAGGCUUUGAACUUCAGAGUUACUGAAGGCAAGCUGAUGUGCUUAGGAGGAAGUCAAUAAAAAGGAGGGAAAUCAUUGUGAAGUCC